GGUUGUUCGCUGAAGGGGGAAAUACAACCUUCAUAUCUUCAUAUUCCGAUCUGGCAAUCACAUAUGAACGGUACCUCUUUCUCUCUCUCACGCCGGAAAAGUGCACUUGGAGAAUAAUUUCUUUAGUUCACUUGCAUAGAAAUCGGAAGAAGCAGAAGGAAUUUCUUCUUCAGGAUUGCUGCUCCUUACAUGGUAUAAGAUCAUCAAGUAUCAGUCAGAAUAAUGAGAUGGAAGUAGUACAAUGAUGAUCCAUUGUUAAUUCAAAUCUCAGACAGCCAGGGAUAAUAUUGGUUACCAUACGUUCACUCGUGAAAACUACCUAUCCUGGAAUCGAUUGAUGAGGAUGGUGCUUCAGGAGAAACUAAAAGUAGGGUUCAUGGAUGACACCUAGAAGUGCCCGAAAGAUCCGGCGAUGCAGGUUCAAUGGGAACGCAUAAACUGCCUGGUCAGAAUUUUUCGUAUACGCGACGACAGUGGACUGCUUCUGGAAGGAAAUUAGAGAAGGGUACCAAGUUCAUAAUGGACCUCUGGCUUUUAAAAUACAAAGGAACAUGUUAAGGAAGGUACUACUAAGCUUGGGAAAUAUUUUUCUAUGUAUUAAUGACUUUGGGAUUAUCUACAGUUGGUUGCCUAUUCUUGUGUGUAAGUGUGCAUAUCGGAUUGUGUACAUGUAAUCUGACAAAAUUACAGGAAAAUAUGGCUAUACCACUAGAUUUCAGUGAUGACACAAUUAAGGAAGAUGGUUUAAGAGGCAAUUGGGAAGCAACUAGUCCCUGACUAGGAAGGAGUUGCUGAAGAUAAUGAGAGAAGGCAAAAUAUGAAAUGACCAAAAUUUCUCAGGUAAGCUUACUGAACCACUGAAGUUGGAAUAAAAAGUCAAUUUUGACAAGAAUGAAAUCUUUAAUUACUGGAAGUUUCAAUGUUAGGCAGAUUAUUGGAAGCUGCAAUGCUGAAACCAACAAUGUUAGGCAUAUUAACCAUAAUUGGAUUUUAGAUACAGGGGCAAAUGCACAUAUAUGUUAUGACAUUAAGAUGAUGACACACUUGGAUGGUAUAUCUAGUCAAAGUACUUAUAAGGCUAGACUUAGGUGAGAACAGAGAAUCAUCAGAGUAUUUGCAGUGGACAUUUCAUUGACCCCAAACAUCUACAUGAAUUAAAUCAAAACAUGCUGAAGUUUUUGAUUAUCUUAAAUGAAAAUGCAGUAUGUGUUGUUUUAUCUUUGGACAAUAUUCACAAUGAGUUACAUCACAAUUCAAAUCUGGGUGAAAACAUUUCAAGAUAGAAUUUGAGGGAUGACCUAAUCUUCUAUGACAUAUUUUUUAUUCCACAAGGGUUUAUUCCUUAGAGGAGGCUAGUAUGACAACUCACAACAACCAUGUCCCCCACUUUAAUCGGGACAUUGUUAGGGGGAAUCAAACCUAAGACGGACCUCUUAAGUAAAGACCUUGUCCACUUGAGCUACCUUGGUAGGUUAUCUUCUAUAACAUUUUUUGUUGGGUUAUCUUCUAUAACAUUUUUUGAUAAAUGGAAAAGAGAACACAAUUGUACUUGUAAAGAAAGUAUGGAAUCAAGCUUCCAGUCUUAAUUCUUCAAGACUCUUAAGGUUCUUCAAGACAAAUUGUUUAGCAUAAAAGAUGCAUCGACCUUCUGAUUCAAUAAGUUUUGAAACUAUCACAUUAUACUCAAAAUCUGGCACUAACAAAACAUUUUUCAACUAAAACUUUUCGAGUUGAGCUGACAUUUCCAAUUUUGCUAAUUAAUUUCGAAGUUCUGUCAGUAAACAUAAUUGUUUGUUCCCUUUUAUGUCGUGCAUGUGUCAUGAUUUUGAUAUUAAAACAUAUCUGUGAGUUAGCUCCGGUUCAAUAAUCCAGUCAUUUUUUGUUUACAGGGUUUGAUUUAACAAAACAGACACCAACAAAUAUGAAUUUUUCAUUCAAAAUAGGGUCAAGAAUAAAAGCUUACUAGUUUAGUAAGGUUACCCGCCAACUCUUGCUUUUUUAUCUUUUUGUCUUUCAUCAAUUUGACAAGCUCUCUCAUGGCUAUUUGACAAGCUUGCCUCAUUAGUUCUUCAUUUAGAUUGAGUGGGGUAUCAAAUUUUUACCGUGGCUUUGUCUCUGUUUUCUCUCCUUCCUUUAAACGGAGCUUGAAGAAACCAUGUUGGUAAUGACCCUCCAUUUUAUGGUGGUUGCACUAGAGGCUCCUUUUGUUUUUCUUGAAGUUGCUCAAUCGACUUUUAUUGAAAGGCCAAGUUUGUACCCUUACCGGAUACAUUCUCAUUCGUAUUCUGGGAUCGGACUUUCUCUUGCUUCUCAACGCUAAGUAACAUUGUAAGAACUAGUAGUAGGUGAAGGUCCAUAACCAAGAUAUGUGCCCUUGUGUGUUCAUGUGUGUUUCUUAGUUCAUUUAAGAACUAGAUUAGCCUAUUGAUUUUUUUUGUCAAUCUUGUCAGUUCUUAUGUAAUUGUGAAGUGACAAUAUUGACAAAGAAAAUGGAUGAAUUUAAUAGGCUCAUUCAGUUCUUAAAUGGACUGAGACCUAUAAACAUAUAAGAGAAAAAAAUCUUGAAGAUGGAUCCUUCGCCGCUACAGUCAGAGCCUUCAUGAUGUUGUUGAGCGUGGAAAAGUAUAAAGAAGUUCAAUCAAACAACAGGAAUGAGAAUGUUUCCAUGGUGGUUAAAGAAAGACAAGACUUCAAGACGAUGAAUCUGACGUGAUCAAAUAACUUCAAUAAGAAUAAAAAUAAUUUGUGAUAACAUUAAAAAAUAAAAAAUAAAAAUAGUUUGUGUUGUAACCAUGGUAAAACAGAGGUUCAUAACCAUGAUGAGUGUUUCAAACUCAUUGGCUCUACUGAUUGGAUCAAAGGAGCGAGUGAUAACAAGGGAAAGAACAACACGGGGAAAGCUGCUUUGUCAAAUGCAUAAAUACAAGCCAGGAGCAAACUUGUUAAUUGUUGAAGGAUAAGAGGACCAAACAAUAAAAAUUUGCAGGUAAAAACACUAAAUCUGCAAGCAUGACAACAACGGUUUUGAACUACAAUGGAUAUAUUAGUUUUUGAAAGAUUCAGAAGUAGAAGUAACACUCCCCAUUCCACCUUGGUGUGACAACAAAACGUCCAUACAGAUUACUCCUAAUCCAAUUUUUCAAGAAUAAGGCAUUUAGAUAUAGAUUGUCAUAUAGUUCGAGACCCGUUCAAGUUGGGAUUCACGAUCCGAAACAUAUUUAUUCAAAAUAUCAAUUGACAUCUAGAUUUCGAGAAGGAUAGUUCUUAUGUCAAUCUUGACAUACUUCUAUACCAAAUUGUUGAAGGACCACACUUUCAUAGAUAAAUUUGAGAAACAUUCACAAGAUUUCAUCUUGAAGAAGGAAUGUUAGAAUUGUGAUGUGAAAUUUAGUUUAAGAUGUAAUUUUAACAAUUAGAAAAGUUGAAUGAUUAGUUUGCACUUUUAUGUUAACAGUAUAAGUCGGUCUUCAAUCUUCAGUGUAAGACAAAACUCUUCUUGUAAUAUUUCCCUGCUUCUUUUUGUUGUUCUUUCAUUUCUUGUUUAGUAUCGAACUCACUCAUGGGUCAUCAAGAAGAUCGAGCUCAUUCAAUUUACUCAAUUCAAAAUUAUGACUUUACCUGAAUAUGAUUUGUUCUAUAAGUUUUGUGCAUAUAUAUUCUUGAUAUAUAUAGAUACUUUUGGGUAUCUAAUGUUUUAAUUUUUGUACUUUUUUAGAAGGAUGCAGAACGAAAACAGACACGGGCAUAUAGAUACUAUAACCAUCAAAUACUUUAGAUUUGCUUAUCAAACUUGUCUUUGUCCCCAGCUUUUGGGUUUGUCUCUGAUUACGACAGGGCCUUCUUUAUCUUGUUAUGAUGGCAAUCAUUUGCCUAAUCCAUUUGUAUAACAAAGUAUUGUAAGUGCUCUGCAAUAUAUGACUUUCAGUCAUGUUGAAUUGGAGAGUUUAUGCAGUCACUAACUAUGGUCUCAUUAAUAGUGGUCAGCCGCUUCUACAUUAUCUUCGGCACACUCAUUAGCAUGGACUUCUUCUUCGUCCAACCUCAUCCCAUACUCUUACUAUCUAUUCAAAAUAGACGGGUUUCAUAAAGAUCGCCAAUCCACCACCGGUUAUUGUAUCUUCUUAGCAGACAAUGACCCCAUUUGAAAACACUUUUUAUUUAUGCUUUUUCUGGACCUGGAUCUAGAUACAAAAUUGUUUGGAAACUAAACUUAGCUAGAGACUGAUUCAACAAGUGUUUCUCUCUAAAUAGGGACAAAUUUAUCGCCAAGAAUUACAAGAAACAACAUGUGGUUGCUAGAUCAAGCAUCCUAGUAUAGGUCUCACGACCACACAAUUGUUGAACUUUCUUGGCUCCAAUCUUUGUUAGGUGGGCUACACGUUACUUUGGGCAAUGGGGGCUGGUCCUUUUUGUGAACAUUUCUUUUGGCCAAUCUUGUGUUUCAUACUCAUACAAAAUCUAUCGAGAUAGAAUUUCAUUUUGUGCAUGAAAAGGGAUGCAAAGAAAGCUAUAAUCAUUCAGUAUAUAACUCAAUUGUGGAUCCGAAUCUUGUUAAAGAUGUUGAAGCCACAUCUUCUAAUUCCAAGUCUCUGCUUUUUAUAAUCAUAUGAAGUUUCUCUCUGCCUUCAACAUCUUUGUUGAAACGUUUUUCUUUUGGUCCUUGAAAUUGAUUAGUCGAUUAUGCUGACAAUAGCAAUGAUUGAGCUUCUGCGUCUCUGACUUAAAAAUCCAGGAUGGGCCAGUAAGAAUAUGCCUUCACAUGUAUGUUGACAAUGGUAGUAGAAGGGGCUGCCACUAAAACUGGAGAACUCUUACACUCCUUAUCUCUUCUUUCUGUAUCUCUACAUAUAGAUAGCUGGUCCAGGCUUCUAAUAGUCUCAUUUUUAUCCAUUUGGCAGGAAUGUGCCAAAUUUCAUCCCUUUCGUAGAGAAUAUUGGAAGAAAAAUGUCUCUGUCCUCUUUUUUUUCAACUUAAAAUGUCCUUUGGCACGCUGCCUUAUCUGAAAAUUUAUUCUCCACCAAUUCACACUUUCUAUAAUCAUGAGCUAAUUUUUAUGAAAAUCUAAUUUUCUGAUUGAAACAUUUCAAAUUAGAAUAUACACAUAUAUUUUAAUAGUUUCAGAGGGCACACAUGAUUUCCUGACACGUGGUACAUUCGGGAACAAUUAGUAAUGUUGGCUGAAUGUAGAGGACAAUUUGAUGUUGCUAUAUUCACAAUCAUUGCAGAAGAAGCAGAAGAUGAAAAAGCAAUAUGGUAUAGAAUGUGACAUCUCCCAGAAAGCCAGAACAAAAAAGAAUGGGAUGGAGGACAAUCCCUUUUUUAGUGUUCUGGCAGAGCAUUGAAAGAACUGAGAGGGGACCAGCCUACUUGUUAGUGGGAUCUCACUUCAUGAUUGGUUGAAGGACAAGAUUCCAAUUUCCUUUUUUCUUCUACAACUAUUCACAACUAGUUUUAACCUCUGCUCACAUCUAGAUCCAACUGCCACCGGACCAGAUUGCCUCAAUGAGCUUCAGUGUUGCUUCUUCUUCUGUUCAUAGAUGGGAACUACUAAAAGAGAAUAAAUAUGCUGCAAGAAAGCUAGAGAGAAAGGUAUGUGUCUUAUUCUAUAAAUUCUCUCCAUCUUUUUAUUCUAGUAGAAAGAUAUUUUUGUGGGGUUGUUUAUAAUCUUUUUCUUUUAUUCUUUAAUUUUUUUUUUUUUUUUAACUUUUCAUGCUCAUGCAUCGAUUCCCUCUACCCCAUAUCUGAAAUUCAAGAGCUUGUUUGAUUUAUGAAAAAGUAGAUUAAUUGGGUCAAGGGGUAAUUUGGUAAUCAAGCAUUCAAUUUUGAAGUUAUUUUUUUGGCUAGAAACUAUGAAUGAAAUGCUACUACAUAUUAUAGGGGAAUGGUUAUAGUUUUGGAUGAAGUGAAUGGAAUUGAUAUCUAAAACAUUUGUAGGAGACACUAGCUAUACAUGAUUGUGUGUUGAUAUUUGAUAUGAAAAGACCUAGGAUCAUUUGAUAGGUGACUUAGUAGGACCUUGUAAUAGAAACCCAGAGAACCUACCCCAUUUUGUUGUAAGAAAAAGAAAAGAAAAAUUAUGGUUUGGUUUUGUGAUUUGGCCAACCCAUAAGAUCUUUGAUGCAUUUAGUCCAAUUUGUGUUGUCUUUGUGUUUGUACAUGACUGGCCAAAUUACCCAUGAAUAGGAGAUGAUAAUUGGGCAGUUAGUGCUGGACAAGUUUAUAUUAUCAUAAUUAUAAUUAAUAAUUAAAAAAAUUGAAGUAAUAAAAAGAAAGAUAUAUAAAUGUACCGAACUCAGUCAAACUAAAAGGAUCCAAUUGGUCCCCAUAGAGACACGUAUUGAAAUACUCCUCCCCAUUUACUUGGGAUUGAUUUAGUUAGAUUAUUUCUUUUCAUGGAAAUGAUGAGGUGGA
Molecule: long non-coding RNA, 6411 nt
Organism: Impatiens glandulifera
Lineage: Eukaryota; Viridiplantae; Streptophyta; Magnoliopsida; Ericales; Balsaminaceae
Exons: 4
Source: RefSeq, a predicted model, not a curated record